This is a long non-coding RNA of Dermochelys coriacea (leatherback sea turtle), 2707 nucleotides long. RefSeq lists it as uncharacterized. NCBI's taxonomy places the organism in Eukaryota, Metazoa, Chordata, Testudines, Dermochelyidae. The record is from RefSeq and is a predicted model, not a curated record. The transcript is spliced from 3 exons.
CAAAAGAACAAACUAUGAAUAACAGGAAAAAGCUUGUUUUGAUGUAUUCCUAAUAAGGAAAAUGUUAAUAAGGAAGUGUGUGUAAUUGAUUGUGGUUUUAAGCUAAAUAAGCUUUUGUAUUCCCUUUCGGGGGGAGGGGGGAGGGUCGGCAGCUUGGCUGUCAUUCCCCUGCAUGCUUGUAAUAAAGUGGGCUUCAGGCUGUUCUGAUCCAAACACAACGCGUGGUAAUUUUUUCCACAACAAUUAAAUGGUUCCGUGACUCAGAUAGACAGCCAACCCCCAGAACCAAAGGACCGUGAACAGUUCCCCGCCAGACCCAGGGCCCAUCUGAAAGGAACUGCUGGCUAAGGUCCCCCACAUCCUGGUGGGCUGAUCAUGCUGACCAGCUUGGGUACAUUGGGUCCACCCAACCACGUAAAGUUCGCCUGAACCCAGCAAGACCCCUUCCCAAGGUGCAGCAGUACCCUCUCUGAAAACAGGCUGAGGAAGGAAUUUGACCAGUAAUCACCUCUUUAAUAUAGCAAAAAGCCAUUAUUCCUAUGGUCAGUGAGUGUAACUCCCCCAUUUCACCAUGCUGUUAAUGCUGCUGUUCUCCCUACCUUUCCCAUUGUCCCUAGCCCUGCUACUAUCCUUUCCUACAAUGCACUGGUGCUAAUGGGUUUUUACCGCCUCAAAUAAGGGAAAGGUUGUAUUAAGUCUGGACAUAAAAGAUUAAUGUUAUUGUUAAAUAAGAUGCAUCUAGAUAUGAGGAAUCAAUGUGUGUGUAUGUAAAUAGGUGUGUAUGAAUGAAUAAAAGGGGGGGUCAGCCAAAUCUUGUAACCCAGUGGAUAGGAACAUUUCCUUAUUUAUGAGCCACUGACCCCAGUGGACCCUUUCCCAUGGAGGUGAGGGAGUAAGAAUUUUCUUUACCCUAUGAGCCGCUAGCAGAUAGGGCGUGUGUGAUUGAAGAUGGGUGGGGGACAGUCUGAAAGUUCCCCCCUCACCACGGGAGGGUGCCCCUGCUUAUUACAUGUGCAUUCUGUCCAGGUGGCAAGCCUUAUGGGGGAUAAUUUGGGUGACCCUGGUGAGUAAUAUUGUUAAGGAAAGGGACCAGGAGGGAUGGGGGUUCAUUGAAAAGCUCACCCUCCUUGCUAAAUUGGUAGUCAAAUAAAGCCUGUGCCCAUGGAAAGGAAUAAUGCAGCGAGGAAAAAAGGAUCGGGCCCAAACAAGCAGGCAACAACAGUUAAAGGAAGUUGAAAGUAACAGAGUGGAAGUUAACUCUGUAGUUACAGGAGGAAAUUAAGCAGUGAAACUUUGGACAAAUGUUAAAAGAAGGUGUUAUGAAAAGAAAAUUCUUGAUUUCUUUUGCAGCCAUUCCUUUGGAGAAAGGGCACAUUUCUCUGGAGGAAUGUCUGUAGAUAAUCCAGGCAAAAGGUUAUUUAAGUGAAAUCAUUUAACUAUGAACAAUCUUUGUUUUAUAAGUUUAAGAUGAAUUGUUGUUGUUUUAAAAUUGUAAAACCGAAAAAUACUUUUGCCAGACAAAAGAAACUAGUGUUGUUUAAUUUUGGUAUUUAGCAUUUAAUCAUUAAGGUGUCUUAAUGCUUUACAAGGUUUAAAAUGUUUUCAAAUAAAGACCAAAGUUGUUGCUGCAGCAGGGCAGUCAAAGCCAGGAAAAUGGGAAAAGAUUUUAAAUCUGUUUCGGUAACAAAUAGCAGAUAAAAACUGUAGUCAGUGCCCCACACUAAGUGUUAAGGUGGCUUUGUGUAAUCAACGGUCACUUUGCCAAAGGGGAGCCAAAAUGGGUUGUGUUUUCCUUUUCAAAUCAAUGUGUGUUUAAAAGCAAUGUGUAUUCUAAAAGUUAGAAGUUAAUUGUGUCUUUUUGAGACAAAGUCUCUAAGCAGCUGAUAACUUUGAAUCCAAAAGCAAGCCGAGAAUGUCUGUGUUAAUGCAAAUCACCUAAAUAAUAAAGAUAGAAUCCAUUGAAACCUGACCUGCCUAUAAAACAAAUACAGGAAAAUAUGGGGAGUAAUUCCUCAGAGUUGCCUGCAAACAGCAAGGGUAUUUGUAAAGAAAGGAAUAUUUUAAGCAAUACUGCCAACAGUGUGUAAUCUGCCAGCAACAUAGUGUUGGUAAAGCUGUCAAGGUUAGGCAGGCAGCACAUCCCCCUUCCUGGGGACCUUUUGUAAAUAUUCAGAUUGAUUUUAUUUAAAUGUCUAAAUGUUGUAAUUAUAAGUGUGUUAGUUUUAGUUAAUGUAUUUUCAAACUGGCUUGAGGCCUUUCCCUGUAAAAAGGCAGAUGCCAAAACUUAUAAAACUUUGUUUAAGGAUUUUGUACCACGAUUUGGCAUACCUGUGAGUAGCAACAGUGAUAGUGGACCUAAUGUUAUUGGAGAAAUUAUAACAAGUUAUGUGCAGCUUUACAGAUCCAACAUAAUCUCCACUGCCUCCACCACCCACAGUCUGCUGGGACAGUGAAACGUCAAAAUGGGAUUUUGAAAAAUAAACUGUCCAAGAUCUGUGCUAAAAUGAAUUUAAAGUGGCCAAAUGCCCUCCCAUUAGCAUUAAUGAAUAUGAGGGCCACUCCCAGUCAAAAGACUGGACUCAGUCCUCAUGAAAUUCUAACAGGGCACCCAAUGUGACUACUGGCUGCACCCCCACUGUCCCUGGCUCAGAUGGGCAUUCAUUUAAUAUAUGACACAAUGCUUCAUUAUCACCAGGCACUAAUGAAA